UGCUUUUAUACGGGAAGAAACACCUCCACGUGUGGAGGCUUGACGGUACCGUAUGAAUAAGGAUCGGCUAACUCCGUGCCAGCAGCCGCGGUAAUACGGAGGAUCCAAGCGUUAUCCGGAAUCAUUGGGUUUAAAGGGUCCGUAGGCGGGUUAAUAAGUCAGUGGUGAAAGUCUGCAGCUCAACUGUAGAAUUGCCAUUGAUACUGUUAACCUUGAGUAAUUAUGAAGUGGUUAGAAUAUGUAGUGUAGCGGUGAAAUGCAUAGAUAUUACAUAGAAUACCGAUUGCGAAGGCAGAUCACUAAUAAUGUACUGACGCUGAUGGACGAAAGCGUAGGUAGCGAACAGGAUUAGAUACCCUGGUAGUCUACGCCGUAAACGAUGGUUACUAGCUGUUUGGACCGAUUGAGGUCUGAGUGGCUAAGCGAAAGUGAUAAGUAACCCACCUGGGGAGUACGUUCGCAAGAAUGAAACUCAAAGGAAUUGACGGGGGCCCGCACAAGCGGUGGAGCAUGUGGUUUAAUUCGAUGAUACGCGAGGAACCUUA
This 545-nucleotide ribosomal RNA is filed under the name uncultured Flavobacteriaceae bacterium. Its description in RNAcentral is "bacterial SSU rRNA". It matches the Rfam family "Bacterial small subunit ribosomal RNA", at positions 431 to 973 of the family's 1533-position model. The record is from RNAcentral. Lineage: Bacteria; Pseudomonadati; Bacteroidota; Flavobacteriia; Flavobacteriales; Flavobacteriaceae.